AGCUAGGUUUUCCAAAAAAAAGCCCGUCCUGAUCAUCUGGACGGAUUAGUAUUAGAUAAAUAAAAUACCACAAAAUGUUGCGAACGCUCGUUUCACGAAAUCAGGCCAUAAACAGUGGCCUAAAGAAAGCUGUACGGUCCAAUGUCACAAGAUGUAUAAGUACAGAAUUAGUGCGAAGGAAACAUUCUAACAAAAUAUCAUCACCAUCAUCGCAGAAAAUUCUCAGCACUCCACAAUGGGGUAUGCAAAUCCGCCACUACGCAGAUCUACCAACGCACAUCAAAGUGAACCUGCCCGCUCUCUCGCCAACUAUGGAGAGUGGAUCUAUCGUCAGUUGGGAGAAGAAGGAGGGUGACAAGCUUAGUGAAGGUGACCUUCUCUGCGAAAUCGAAACAGAUAAGGCCACAAUGGGCUUCGAAACUCCUGAAGAGGGCUAUCUUGCCAAGGUCCUAAUUCCCGCUGGUACCAAAGGUGUUGCAGUGGGAAAAUUAUUGUGCAUCAUAGUGGAAAAUCAAGCCGAUGUUGCUUCCUUUAAAGAUUUUAAGGAUGAUUCACCUGCGCCGGCGCCCGCACCGAGGAAGAAGGAGAAAGAAGCCGCCCCCGCCGCCGCGGCGCCACCCGCGGCCGCUGCCCCGACUCCGGCCGCCGUCGCUUCCGCACCCGCCCCUGCCCCCGCCGCAGCGCAGUCUGGAGGAGGUAGGGUGUACGCCAGCCCCUUUGCGCGACGCAUCGCAGAACUGAGGAGUGUCAGACUCGGAGGACAAGGUUCAGGAUUAUAUGGUUCAUUGAAGAGCGGCGAUCUCUCAGGCAUGGCGUCGGCACCUGGCAGGGCGGCGGCUCCUCCAGCCCCACAACCCGGGGCAACCUACGUGGAUCUCCCCCUCUCGAGUAUGCGGGAAACAAUCGCCAAGCGUCUCUCCGCUGCUAAGCAAUCCAUUCCUCAUUAUCAGCUCUGCACGACAGUUAAUGUGGAGAAGACGUUACGAAUGAGAGCAAAGGUCAAUGAAAUGAUCGCAAAGACAGGACAGAAGAUAUCGGUGAACGACUUUAUAAUAAAGGCCGUUGCCGCGGCAUGUAAGCGAGUGCCCACGGCCAACUCUCACUGGAUGGAAACUUAUAUUAGACAAUUUUCGAAUGUGGACGUAAGCGUAGCGGUGGCAACCCCAGCGGGUCUGAUUACACCGAUCGUGUUCGGUGCAGACUCGCGCGGCAUUCUUGACAUCAACAAGACGGUCAAGGAGCUGGCGCAGAAGGCCAAGGACAACAAGCUUCAGCCGCAGGAGUACCAGGGCGGCACUGUCACCGUUUCCAAUUUGGGCAUGUAUGGUAUCACGAUGUUCAAUGCGAUCAUAAAUCCGCCGCAGUCGCUUAUUCUCGCCUGCGGAGGCCUACAGGAGAUCAUUGUUCCAGAUAAGAACGAGGCACAGGGAUUCCGUGUAGCAAAAUUCAUAACAUUUACGGCGUCAGCGGACCACAGAGUGAUCGACGGCGCGGUAGGCGCGCAGUGGAUGCAGGCCUUCAAGGAGAACCUCGAGGACCCCGCCAACAUCAUCCUGUGAACACCUAACAUCUUCCCUUGUUAAAUGGACACCCUCUAUAUAGGACCUUAUAGGAGAUUAUUAUCUAUUAGGGCUAUUUAUUGUCUCGCGGAUCCCGUGAAAGCGGACUCGAGACUAGACCCCCUGAUCGAAUGUAAAUGCCAUGUUUUCUAUGGACCUAAGGCUCAUAAGUGAUACUGAUAACUUAUGCGAUUCGCAUCUGAUUUCAAGUGAUUUGAUGAAAUUAUCCGCUCUAAAAAUGCUCUAUAUAAGAGUACAUUUUUGAUGACUUUUAAAAAGGCAUUUUUGGCCGUACCCUCCAUUGGGUAAUGCCAAUGUAAAGGUAAGGCCAAAAUACUUUGUACGCAGUGAUCUAACUAUCUUAACUAGACUUCUCAAAGGAAAUGAAACUAUUUUUCCGGAUUUAAUAGACUUACAGACUUCUCAAUUAAAUAUUUAUUUAUGUGUAAGUGUGUAUAUAAACUAUGUAAAUAGUAAUAGAAAAUGUAAUAGGAAACAAAAGUAAUUGCCUAGUAUCCUAUUUGAAUCCAUACCAUUUAAGUUUAUACCAUUAUGCCUCGUUCACCGCGGGCUAACUUGCUUACGAUUUUAUAAAUGUUAGUUCGCUGUGUACGUACGUUUACUUAUGAUCAUUCGUUUAUUAUUUUUAAUUUUGUUUUUAUUACCUUGAUAUUCAUUUUAGAUUUCUAGUUUAUUUUUUACUGUGACGAGGUGUCCACUUGGCAAAUUGGGAUGUAAUUUGAAGCACUGCCAUAUCCUUCGAAUAUAGUGGAAGCUUUAGUUUUAAAUAUCACUUAUCGUGAACGCUUCGUCAUUAUGAAGUUAUCGGUAGUGAGUUCCAGAGGGUUUCAAAACAAUCAAUAUUGUGGGCAUGUGUUUUCGACUAUUUUAUUUGCAGGAUAUGUAAAAUUUGUUAUGAAAUUAUUUAUUUUAGUUUUAAAUAUUAAGAAAAUACUAUAUAUCAUGAAAAAUGUCAUUCGAAACUUGGUUUCUCAGUCCAUUCUUUGUACAUUUAGAAACGAAUCAAAUUUAUUUAAAGCACUUAUGUUUAAGGUUUAAGUUGCUUAGUUCGACUUUAUAACUAUACAAAGAUUUAAAUUUACAACUUGCAUACAAGUUGACGUUAGCAUUAAGCCUUAUUUCAACUCCAUGCAAACUACUUGCACAGUACAAACGCGCACUAAUUUAAAAUGUUUUAAAAAACAAUUGAAAUCAUGUACAAAAUAAAUUAUAUAUUUCCUUUUUUUUACAGAAUAUUGAAAAGCGUUAAAAAUGCAUUUUUGUGCUAGCUGUACAGUCUUCAUCUGUAUGCCCUUUUCCUGUCACACCAAUUUUGGUACGCAUGCGUAUCUGUAGUGCAUACAUAGUCCUUUUCCUGGCUUACGGACUUUGCUCCGCAUGCGUAUAUUUGUACAAUUGUCUAUGGAAAUGAUUAGUGUUUGCCAGACUCCAUUUAUGAAAAAAAAAAUAUUGGUGGUCUUACGUCUCCUUACUUACUUUUGGUUUGAAUACAAAAAACAAGUGUAACACUUUCCAUCAACCCGGCGCCCAUUGGCAUAAAUGUAUGGCAAGGGAUCCUUCGGCUUCGACAUGCAAGUGCACAUUGACGGCGAAUAUGCCACGAUGUACUUAGGGCAUCUUCAAAUUAGACACACAUAGAAGCACGGCAGUGGCGCCACUGUGGCGCUGUAGCCGCGCCACUACUAAUUUUCAUACAUAUACAGGUUGAUACAAUAUAAAAACACGUCCAUUUUUUUUCCUGUGCAUAAGAUUCAGUAAUAGAACACAUUAGUGAAAUAAAACAAAAAAUGUCCAAAUUUUUUGAUGUUAAUAUUUUCCAAUAAUUUCUAAUGCGUGGUUACCUCAAAAUAGUAAAUAAAAUUGAGCGAUCGGCGCCGAGUUAUCCAGACGCCUAGGCGCCAGCAUAUGCGCUAACGCAUCGCGCGUUAGUUUAGUACUUUUUUGUCUGUCAAAUAAUAAUAAUAAACUCGCGCCCUGACUCCGCCCACUGCCCCCACACCGUUGUUGUUGCUAUAGCAACGACGUCUGUUAAUCAUCGGGUAUCAAUAUUGUUCAAAAUUUUUCGGAAAUCUUUGAGACUUCAUAACUUAUUCAUUUGUUUAAUAAUUGAAAAAAAAAACCAAAGUUGUAUCUUUUAUUUCUGUUAUACAGUAUGUUCCUUUAAAAUGGUCA
RNA transcript from Hyposmocoma kahamanoa, 3752 nucleotides. It is a transcript of the gene named dihydrolipoyllysine-residue acetyltransferase component of pyruvate dehydrogenase complex, mitochondrial, with no coding region annotated. NCBI's taxonomy places the organism in Eukaryota, Metazoa, Arthropoda, Insecta, Lepidoptera, Cosmopterigidae. The transcript has 11 exons. The record is from RefSeq and is a predicted model, not a curated record.